GAUGAACGCUGGCGGCGUGCCUAAUACAUGCAAGUCGAGCGAACAGAUGAGGAGCUCGCUCCUCUGACGUUAGCGGCGGACGGGUGAGUAACACGUGGAUAACCUACCUAUAAGACUGGGAUAACUUCGGGAAACCGGAGCUAAUACCGGAUAAUAUAUUGAACCGCAUGGUUCAAUAGUGAAAGACGGUUUUGCUGUCACUUAUAGAUGGAUCCGCGCCGCAUUAGCUAGUUGGUAAGGUAACGGCUUACCAAGGCAACGAUGCGUAGCCGACCUGAGGGGGUGAUCGGCCACACUGGAACUGAGACACGGUCCAGACUCCUACGGGAGGCAGCAGUAGGGAAUCUUCCGCAAUGGGCGAAAGCUUGACGGAGCAACGCCGCGUGAGUGAUGAAGGUCUUCGGAUCGUAAAACUCUGUUAUUAGGGAAGAACAAAUGUGUAAGUAACUAUGCACGUCUUGACGGUACCUAAUCAGAAAGCCACGGCUAACUACGUG
Molecule: ribosomal RNA, 497 nt
Filed under: uncultured bacterium
Lineage: Bacteria
Description: partial 16S ribosomal RNA
Rfam family: Bacterial small subunit ribosomal RNA
Source: RNAcentral